GAAUUCCAUAGUUAGCUGACUUUGACAAGGACCUUCAUUUGGACUCGAAUCGGUAAAAGUUGUAGGUUUCCAGCUUUCGAUGCAUUUUGGUUAGAUGUGGGCCCAUGUGUCAGUGUAAAGGAAAUUUUAUGCUUUGGUUAUUUGCUUUAUAGUAUAUAUGAAUAUAAUUAACUUUUACGCUAUAAGAAUUAUGUACCGAUAGUUUUAUGAAAAUUAUUUUACAAGAAAAUAGUUUAUUUUAUUGAAUAUUUUUUUUAUAUUCAAAUAGUCAAAUUUUCACUUCAAAUGAACGUUUUAGAUACUUCAUUUGUUUUUACAUCAUUAAAUAUAUAUUUUUUGCUUACCUACUACAUUUUUAGCAAGUUUCAAGACUUUUGAUAAAAAUGACGAAAAUACCCCUAUGAGCCAAAAAGAAAAUAAUAUGUUAUGUUUUGAUUCGUAAUCCUUCGUAUUUUGAUAUUUGAUAACUAUUGCUCACCGGGGAAGUGCGAAAGCUGAUAAGAGAGCCUUGCGAGGUUUCGAUCGAUAUUCGGGGUGAAGAAUGUUUGUCGAGGCCUCGGGCCGUUGUCACAGGCUCGAUGGGGAGUUCCGGAUCGUGACAAUAAUGGUGGAGUUUAACCAAAAUCCCUCACCUAAGAAAAUUAACUCGAGAUUGUGACUUUUUAUGUCUUGAGCAAACAUUUCAUCAUCGAUCCAAUCCAAAUAAUGCGUUAUUAUUCUUACUUUUAUCACUAUUAUUUUACUCACUAACUUGAAAGUAAAACUAAAAAAAUUACCAUUCAAAUAUGAAAGCCUGAUUAAAACUAAACUAGCAAAUUGAAUGGCCCAACAAAACAUAAUACACAAUAUAGCCCAACAUAAGAAUAUGACCCAAACAAUAAAGUUCAAGAAAGUCCAUACCAAGCUUAGGCUGUUAAAGUGCAAAAUUGAAUGAAUUUAAUGGCAACCGUUGGGCUUGGCAUAGCCCACUCCAACAGCCUUCCCUUUUCCCUAAGAUCCAAAAUGACGCCAUUUGGUACUUUCACAACCACUAGCUUCACCUUUUUUCUUUUUUAUCAGACAACACCAUUUGGUGCUUUCUUCUUCAACAACCGUAACUAUAAAAAGCCUUUUUUUCCUUUCAACCUUUAUUUUCUUUCCCAUUUUCUUUUUCUACUUGCAAGGCCUUGCUCUUACUCUAUAAAAACUUGCUUUCUCAAACCUAGCAAAACCUUAACUGCCUCACAACCUAUUGGCACUUCUCAUGUUGUCGUCGUAGCCUUAGAAUCGCUCAAACCCUCACACUCUUUUCCUUUUUGGCCUCAAGGCCAUACAAAACCUAAGCCCCCUAAAGCAUGACUGAGCCUCCUCAGCUCUAAAUUAGGUUUUUCUUUAUUUUUAUUUUUGGUUUCCUAUGGAUUAAUGGAUGCUCAAUCUAAGGUAUCAGGUUCAUUUUUAGGAUCUUUUUGUUAGAUUAAUAAGCUUAAAGUAAAGUAACCAAGAGGAGGGUGAAUUAGUUAUCAAAUAAAAAUUUUCCUUUUUUUACAUUUUCAACACAAUUGAAAUAUAAAGUGCAAAGUUAUAAAAAUAUAGUAUAAACUAAGCAAGUAAAGUGUACGCAGCCAAGUUUUUAUAGAGGUUCAACCUUUGAUGCUUACGUCCUUUCCCUUGAUAGCAUAAGGAGUUCGAAUCCAUUAUCAUAUUUUGUUUUAACAUAGGAUCAUUUGUAACCUUUAUAACAAAUGCCUUUUUAAGGAUCAAGCACAAGCUCGACCAAAGUUACUACUUUUUAAAGUUCAAGCACAACCUUUAUAACUAAAAUGCCUUUUAAGGAUCAAGUAUAAUCUCAACUAAAAUGCCUUUUAAAGAUCAAACACAACCUUUCUACCUUUUUCUCAGAGGUAUAACCUUAACAUUACCUUUCAAAAAGAUAUAAACUAUACAAUAGUGAAUUUUUAAAAAAUCUCUAGCUCAAAACCUUUAAUAAGGCUAGUAAGGAAUCUAAGUACAAAAAAGAUGAGAGCUUUAUCAAGAAUGAUGAAUGAUGAAUGAUAAAGUGAAGUUUAGGCUCAAGAAACUCUAGUUGAGAGAUAAAGAUAUGAUCUUGGUUUUAUGCUUUUGUGCAAAGAAAAGAUUUUUUUACUUUAGGCUCUCUUUCUUGUUUUCCUUUUUUUUUUCUCUAUCUUUCAAAUAUUUCAAAUUGUUCAAAUUCUUCCAAUCGUUACAUUCAGAGGCUUUUUCAUCAAGUAUCUAUAGGCAUCAAAGAAUAUACCUGUUGGAGCAAAUUUUAAAAUGAUUUUCGUACGUUUUGGCCAGCUUGCACAGUUUUGUCAUGCAUGGAGAAUCGAUUCUUGGUUCAUGAGUCUUGGUUCUUCAUAAAGUCUUGGUUCAAAGGUGACACCUUUACACUUUUGUAGAAUCGAUUCUUUUGCUCAUAAGUGUCAGUUCUUCACUAUGGUUUGCACCCAAAUUUGAAUUUGAGCUUGAUCUUUGGCACUCCAAUCUUAUCCAAUUAUACCAUAUCUUUCUUUUUCACCAAGUUUUUGAUUUUUGUCGUUGGUGCUUCAAGAAUCGAUAUCUUUUUCCUCUAGAAUCGAUUCUUUUUCUUCAAACUUGAGAUCUUUGAUUCAUUCUCAGUUAGAACCAAUGAUUGCUUCAUGGAGGAUUGAUUUUUUCAUGUUUGGAUUCUUCUUUUGGCACUCUAUCUUUCCAAAAUCUAUAAUUGCUCUUUGAGAUGUUGAUUCUUCUUUAUUCUUGAAGCUUCUUUCUUCCAAAAACUAAUUUAUUCUUUUUUUAGAAUUGAUUCUUCCUAUGAUAAGAGAAUAAAAUUUUCUUUCCACUCAUUUAAUAAUCGAUUCUAAAUAUUCAAAGAGUUGAUUAUUUAAGGAGGUCGAUUCUUUAUGGUUCGCACUUGAGUUCAAGUUUGCUUAAAAACAUUUUCCUUUACAAGCUAAACUUCAAAAGUCUUAUGGAUUUUCUUCAAGUUUAAAAACAUUUACUAAUCAUUUCCAAAGCAUAUUUAGAUAUGAAAUGCCCCAUACUUUGAUAUGGUGAUAAAUAAAGUUGAUCGAAUGCAAAUUGAGGUCAAUUAAAAUGUUUAGAAGUGAUAAAAGGCGAAAGGAGUAGUUUAGGAUAAAAUAUUUCGCAAGUGAGAAAAUAAUAAUAAAAUAAUAAUAAUUUUAUCGGAGGAGAAUUUGUGAGAUAAAAGGCGAUUUGGAAGUCAAGUGAGGCAUAAUAAGGUAUUUUGGGUACCAAGGAGACAAGAGAAAAUUUUUGGAAUAAAAUAAAAUUUUAUUGAUAAAAUAAUAUUAAAAUAUUAAUAUUUAGCCGGAUGUCGAAGUCAAUCAAGAAGGAGGAUCAUAUGGUUGAUCCAAGUGGGGGAGAAGAUGACAAGCCCGACUCUACAGAAAUAUUUGUGAUGACAUACAUGUGGUGGAUAGCAUGUUUACAUGCUAAGAGAGUCUUGAAAAAUUUACAAAAGUCGGUAUUGUACCUAGAGGUACAAUAAAGUUGAUUUAAGCCUCGAACUAGAUCAAAUAGAGAAUUUACAAUGAAAUUAAGAAUUUUAAAGUCCCAGAAUGGGUUAAUAUGGUGAUUCGGAGUUCGAGGAUCAAUUUGGAGUCAAACUGGAAUUUUCGCUAUCUAGGGGCAAAAUGGUCAUUUGCCACCUGGGGACAAAAUGGAAAUUUUUAGAAAAGAUUUUUGGCCCCAUUUGACUUAUUGGAGUAAGAUUUGAGGUUUAGAAGUGAAAAAUUUUAAUUUCGGUAUAAUUUGGAGUAAAAGGGUAAAAUGGUAAUUUUACCAUUCGAAAUCGAAAAUUUAAUUUUUUGAAAGGAUUUUGAUCAAAUUUAAUUAUUUGGAGUGUGAAAUGAGUAUGAGGAGUGAAAAUUAUGCAUUAUGGAAAAUUUUCAAUUUUUGGGGUAAAAAUGUAAUUUUUGAAAAGUUCGGGGGCAAAAGUGUAAUUUUGAAAAAUUUGCUCCACCAAAACUUUGGAAAAAUCUGGAAAUUUCACUUAAGACUUGGAUAAGUCAAAGGGAAUGCAUGGUGAAAAAAAUAGGACAAGUGGAUGGCUAAAAAAAAAAAUGAAUUAAUAAAAUAUUUAAAAUAUGAAUAAAAUAAUAUUAUUUCAUUAAACAAUAAAAAGGCAAAAAAAAAAUCAGCCCACCCAUUCUUCUUCUUCAACAUUCGGCCAAGCAAGAAACAAGAGAGAGAAAGGAAAAAACAAAACCCUAGAGAGAGAAAAUCAAAGAAAAAGUGUGAAUUUUCAAGGAAAUUAAGUGAAAAAGGUGAGAUUUUUUCUAUUAAGCUUGAGUUUUCUUAUUCCCAAGCAUUUCUCUUUAUUUUCCAUGAUUAAAUUACAUGUUUUCAUGAUGAAUUCAAUUCUGAAAAAAUGGGUUAGGAGAGAGAAAGUUGUUGGAUUUAUUUGAUUUUAAUUUAUGUUAGUGUUUUUAGUUAGUUUAGCAUAUUUAGAAACAAAACAACAAGAAAAGAAUUUAUUUUCUCCCCCAACCAUUAAUGGCUGAAUUUACCAUGUAGUGAGUGAGGAUGAGUUUGAUUUUAUUCUAGGAGAAUUGGUUAAGGAAUGAUGAAUUAUGAGCCUAGAAAAAUAAUGGGAAUUUUCGGAGCAAAAAUACGAAUUUUUACCCACUAGGGGUAUUUUCGUAAUUUGCUGUUGGGACUGAUAAUUUGCAUCACACUGAGGGACAUUAAGUUAAUUUGGGUGCAAUUGAGGUAUAGAAACUGAAAAGAAUUAAAUUGGAGUUUAAACGAACCCGUUAGGAAUUUAAUCGGGUGAUAAGACGAAUUAGGCUAAUACCGGAUUUAGAUAGUUACCAGUGCAUUUUUGCAUUCCAUAUCAUGCAUUGGUAGUCCAAAUUAGUUUAAUUUUGAUUUAGUACCAACUUAGUGAAAUUCUCGAUUUUGUACUGUGUCAAGGUGGUGAGUCCUCCAAUAAAGGCAAGGAAAUUGCAUCCGAGGACCAGUAGACAGAGUGCUUCGAAAGUCUGCAUUCUAGACAUUGUGAGUAAACUUAUUAUCGUCUUAAUUAUCUAGAGUAGUUUUAUACAACUAUGUGAUUUUAUGAAAAAUGGGUUUAAAUGGUAAAUUGUUAUGUUUUAAGGGAAAUUGUGAUUUUAUAAAAUGAUUUUAUAAAUUUUCUGAAAAAUCGAAUAUUGGUUUUGAAAAUAGAGUAAUUGGAGACUGCUAGUUUGUGUUGCAAAUUUAUGGUUUUGAAUUGAAUGGCUUAUGACAAUAAAUGAGCAUGAAUGGCUAAACUGAUUUUGGUGUUAUAAUUAUUUAUACUGUGUAUUCAGCCUUGAGAGGCUAGGUUGCGAUAAAUUGCCAUGUCAUGCUAGAAUGAAUUUUAUUGAUUGGUGGAUUAUAUAUUAAUUAUUUACUGCAGAGGGGGUUCCGUGGACCAGCCUAUUAGAGGGGCACGGUAAACUCCAUUAUAUUAUUACCUCGAACGGAGAGGCGCGUAGGGUAUCUCCUGGGGUAUAGCUUAGGGUUCACUUCACGCCAAACCACCACGUGAAGGGGAACUCAGCCAACGCCAAGGAACGGCUGUAUUUUUCUCAAACAAAAAUAUAUUUUAAGUGUAUACAAAAUUUUAACAGCCUUGGCGGACUCGGUUAGAUGCCCUGCGCAAGGUAUCACCGAGUAUGAGUUUUGGCACGAGCCAAAGUUUUAAGAAAUUCAUAAGCCAAGUUGAUUACUCGAUUUUUAUGGAUUGAUUUUAUUUGGUUGAAAUGAGUUGAAUGGUAAUGAAAUUACAGUAUGAUGAUUUAUUUUAAUUGUCUCCAUUUACUCGACUUUAGAUAGUUUAGAUGGUAUCUGUUUACUCACUGGGAUUUUAUAAUCUCACCACCCUCAUUUCCUCACAUUUCAGGCUCAGGGAAUUCCGUAGUUAGCUGACUUGAACACGGACCUUCAUUUGGACUCGAAUCGGUAAAAGCUGUAGGUUUCCAGCUUCCGAUGCAUUUUGGAUAGAUGUGGGCCCACGUGUCACUGUAAAAGAAAUUUUAUGCUUUGGUUAUUUGCUUUAUAGUAUAUAUGUAUAUAAUUAUCUUUUACGCUAUAAGAAUUAUGUAUCGAUAGUUUUAUGAAAAUUAUUUUACAAAGAAAAUUAGUUUAUUUUAUUGAAUAUUUUUAUUAUAUUCAAAUGGUCAAAUUUUCACUUCAAAUGAACGUUUUAGAUACUUAAUUUUUUUUAAAUCAUUAAAUAUAUAUUUU
Molecule: long non-coding RNA, 6210 nt
Filed under: Theobroma cacao (cacao)
Lineage: Eukaryota; Viridiplantae; Streptophyta; Magnoliopsida; Malvales; Malvaceae
Description: long non-coding RNA (TCAC_LNC004856)
Source: RNAcentral